GGGAGGAGGACUGGUGCCUCAGCUGGAAGGUAGCACCUUGGACAGAGCAGUGCUGGGGAAGAAACAAAACGAGUGGAUGAGGAAGAAAGAGAAAAAUCCCCAUGGUCCCAAGAUGGAGGACACAAAGACAAACGGAGGGGGCAGACUGAAGCCUACAAAGGGAAUUCUGACACUCAACUCCUUUGCUUCCUUGUGUCUUGCUAGGCAGAGCAAUAAUACCAACUGUUCCUGUCUGCCUCCCCAAUAGGAUGGGGCAGAGAGCCAUAUGCAAUAAGUCCAUUUUAUUACAAGAGAAGAAAUAGGGUAUUUCUAAUAAUUAAUGCAGCAGAGAAAAAGCAUAUUGGCUUUCUUCCAAACCCUUUGUUAGAUGUCCUAACAGUCAGCAUUUGGGGAAAGCACUUUUUCACAGACUGUAAUUUAAAAUCAUCAUCUAGAUUGAGGUAAAUAAUAUACCUAGCUCUAUCUGAUCCUACUUAUAAAUAAUCCUGUACUUGUACUGUACAGACAGGCCUGUGCCCACUUUUGUUGAGACCCCUUCAUUCCCAAAAUGUGUUAAUGGAUUAAUGUAAUUUUCCUUCAAUUGAAGGAUUCCAAUGAGUCAAUUUCCUCUCCUCCUUCUACAGCCUUCUUUUCUAAGGGAAGACUCUGGAUGUUUCUCCUACCGCCAAAAUUCAUUAGUACUGUUUCAUUCCCUUAAUAAACAAUUAUUUAAAAAGUGACAAAAUAUGCUUAGUCCCCACCAGCAGCAAACAUGCUGCCUAUAGGUUAUCACUACAUCUUGGUCCCUGCUUAAGAGAAUCUCACUCCUUGAAGAUAAUAAAGUUAUAUUUUUUCCCAAAAUUCUAUGCCACAGUGUCUGUAAAAUGUACUUUAAGUUAUCCAAGCAAAAGAGUGCACUCAAAAGUCUCUUUUUUUAAUCAACUCAAAAAAAAGGCCAAAUGCUAAUUCAGAUGUUACAAAAAAUAUUUACUCCCAGACUCAGAUCCUUCAUGCCAAAUUUCAGCACAAUAAAUUUAACUGUGCAAGCUAUACAUUUCUGAAAUGAGGUAAUAGACAUACCAACAAGGCUUAGCUAUAGCAAUCUGAGUGAUGACACUAAUAUAUUUUCAUAUUAUACACAUUG
Long non-coding RNA from Dermochelys coriacea (leatherback sea turtle), 1123 nucleotides. RefSeq lists it as uncharacterized. The transcript has 2 exons. The record is from RefSeq and is a predicted model, not a curated record. NCBI's taxonomy places the organism in Eukaryota, Metazoa, Chordata, Testudines, Dermochelyidae.